This is a long non-coding RNA of Sander lucioperca (pikeperch), 130 nucleotides long. RefSeq lists it as uncharacterized. The record is from RefSeq and is a predicted model, not a curated record. NCBI's taxonomy places the organism in Eukaryota, Metazoa, Chordata, Actinopteri, Perciformes, Percidae. The transcript has 3 exons.
UAUACAGUCAAUGGUUUGAAAGCAAGAUCAGUUAUUUGGCUGCUUUGAAGUAAUGUCAUUGCAAAAACACUGGAUGUCACUAUCAACAAAGCUGUCAGCUGUCAUAAACACAAACUAGGAAUUCAGACUU